GGAUGCGAUCAUACCAGCACUAAAGCACCGGAUCCCAUCAGAACUCCGAAGUUAAGCGUGCUUGGGCGAGAGUAGUACUAGGAUUGGUGACCUCCUGGGAAGUCCUCGUGUUGCAUUCCC
Molecule: ribosomal RNA, 120 nt
Filed under: Secale cereale subsp. vavilovii
Lineage: Eukaryota; Viridiplantae; Streptophyta; Magnoliopsida; Poales; Poaceae
Source: RNAcentral